CGGAAUAGCAGUGGCCAGAUGGAAUAGCAGUUUAGCAGCAGGAGGGUGCUCCUUCCUGUGACUGCCUCCAAGAGAUCACUGGAUCCUGAACAUGAAGGUAUCUCCCCUUCGGCAGCUGUCAAGCCCUAUGAAAGGUAUUCUAUAUCUGAUAAAAGAAUUCCAAAUCAUACUCUUAGCCAUCAAUACUCCAUGAUCA
RNAcentral lists this long non-coding RNA (196 nucleotides) under Fukomys damarensis (Damara mole-rat). RNAcentral's name for it is "lncRNA (ENSFDAG00000029788.1)". Lineage: Eukaryota; Metazoa; Chordata; Mammalia; Rodentia; Bathyergidae. The record is from RNAcentral.